AGGCAGCUUCCAGGCAAGACUUCGCGCGCGCUGUGUUUGCUGAGGCGAUCUUGAUCGAGAAAAACGCCUUCCGAACAUUCGGAGGGACGCGUGGAAACUUCAUGUGAAUCGAGAAACGCUGUAAGCGUGCCUCUACCGAAGCUGCACUUCACUCCGCUUUCAACGACUGCAGGAGACGCCAAGAAGUGGACCGUCGUAUCCAGUAAAGAUUAAGAAGACGUUGAGAUGCUAGUCUCGCACCUUGCUGAGAAAUUUCUUGGGCCCUUUGGAACACUGCUAGUUUUGGCUCCAUGAAAAAAAGAAGAAAACAUCAUUACACCUCAGGUUGACAGGCUGGCCCCUGAAGCAAUGUGGAUUAGU
Long non-coding RNA from Rhipicephalus microplus (southern cattle tick), 360 nucleotides. The record is from RefSeq and is a predicted model, not a curated record. NCBI's taxonomy places the organism in Eukaryota, Metazoa, Arthropoda, Arachnida, Ixodida, Ixodidae.